This 449-nucleotide ribosomal RNA is filed under the name uncultured bacterium. Its description in RNAcentral is "bacterial SSU rRNA". It matches the Rfam family "Bacterial small subunit ribosomal RNA", at positions 64 to 507 of the family's 1533-position model. The record is from RNAcentral.
GAGCGGAUGACGGGAGCUUGCUCCUUGAUUCAGCGGCGGACGGGUGAGUAAUGCCUAGGAAUCUGCCUGGUAGUGGGGGACAACGUUUCGAAAGGAACGCUAAUACCGCAUACGUCCUACGGGAGAAAGCAGGGGACCUUCGGGCCUUGCGCUAUCAGAUGAGCCUAGGUCGGAUUAGCUAGUUGGUGGGGUAAUGGCUCACCAAGGCGACGAUCCGUAACUGGUCUGAGAGGAUGAUCAGUCACACUGGAACUGAGACACGGUCCAGACUCCUACGGGAGGCAGCAGUGGGGAAUAUUGGACAAUGGGCGAAAGCCUGAUCCAGCCAUGCCGCGUGUGUGAAGAAGGUACUUCGGAUUGUAAAGCACUUUAAGUUGGGAGGAAGGGCAGUAAGCUAAUACCUUGCUGUUUUGACGUUACCGACAGAAUAAGCACCGGCUAACUAUGUG